This is a long non-coding RNA of Phlebotomus argentipes, 1461 nucleotides long. RefSeq lists it as uncharacterized. The transcript is spliced from 2 exons. Lineage: Eukaryota; Metazoa; Arthropoda; Insecta; Diptera; Psychodidae. The record is from RefSeq and is a predicted model, not a curated record.
CUUUUCCCUUGUCUUUCACUCCUUAUUGGGAUACUGCAGUUGGUGUUAUCUCUGUGCAAUGGCUUAAUUUUAUUACCUGGAAGUGGUUUUUGUGACCGCAAAGUGUUGGAAAAUGUACCGCAAGAAACAGGAUAUCCAAGAAACGUGAAAUCCAUACUAAAAUUACAUGACUUCUGGGGUUUUUACGGCUUUUAAAGUCACGGAAGGCCAAAGCGAUGGAGAAAUGGCGCAUAAUCUAAAAUUAAAUGUGAUUAUACCAAAUGUAUGAAGACUUCUGCGUAAUCUGGAUGCUGUGCAACUGAUUUGAGGCGCUUAUCAACUGAUUUUUGCAGUGGAAUAUCGUGUCUAAAGAUCCAAAGAAUAUAAUUUGACGCCUCGUGGUUUGCCAAAAUGGACGCCAUUCUGUCAAAAUUGUAUGGUAUAUUAUCUUCUGAGAAGAACGCUACUUCAGAAUUGCCUGACCAAAUGCUAACCAGCUCGCUUCAUUGGCACCAUAUUCAGGAGUUAGAAGCAACUCAGAGAUUAACAUUUCUGCAAUCCUUCAAGUGAAGGCAUUUAUCUGGCGUUUCGCCACUUUAUCUGCGCUUCGCAUAACUAGAGAUGCAUUCAAUUACUUUCCGGCUCGAAAUUACCAUAAUUGGUUCGAAGUUCUUCGGCUUCUGGAUUUCACAGGAGAAGAAAAGGGACAGGGGGGAUUAACAAUUAUGGUUGAUUUCUGAUUAUUUGAAAAUUUCACAUUGGAAAAUGCGAGAGGAAAUACGUAUCAAUAUAAUUGACUUUUUAAAGUUAAAGAUCUAACUAAGUUCCGGCUCGAAGGACCAAAAUUAUAUUAAUCAGAAGAAGAGGGAACAUGUUUAUUAACUAUUUGUAAGAUAAAAUAUAUUUAUCUUACAUUACUGUUACUUGGUGGUAACCAAACAUUUUAAUGAUCAGGAAUAAUUGGCAGAGCAAAUGAUUAGUAAUAAUGUUUGCUAUUUUGGUGAACUUAACCUAAUCUUACUGUUACUUGGUAACAAAAGUUUAAAUUGAUCAGGAAUAAUUGGCAGAGCAAAUGAUUAGUAAUAAUGUUUACUAUUUUGGUGAACUUAAUCUUAGUGUUACUUGGUAACAAAAGUUUAAAUUGAUCAGGAAUAAUUGGCAGAGCAAAUGAUUAGUAAUAAUGUUUACUAUUUUAGUAAACUUAACUUAACCUUACUGUUACUUGGUAACAAACUUUCUAAUGAUCAGGAAUAAUUGGCAGAGCAUUUUAUUAGUAAUAACGUUGAUGCAAAUUAUUUUGGUAAUCGUAACUUGAAUGUUACAAAUUUAAUCUAAUUGCCGCUACAACCAAUUCUUGUCUUGACCUUAAUUGGGUCAUUGAGAAAUUGACUUCGACUAAUCUUACAAGACUAGCAAUGUUAUUUUGUAAGUGAAAAUUGUAAAUGUGAAUUGUACACAGAAUAUAAAUCACGAAGAAUAUAA